GGUUAAGCGACUAAGCGUACACGGUGGAUGCCCUGGCAGUCAGAGGCGAUGAAGGACGUGCUAAUCUGCGAAAAGCGCCGGCGAGGUGAUAUGAACCUUUGACCCGGCGAUGUCCGAAUGGGGAAACCCAGUGCAAUCCGUUGCACUAUCGUUAACUGAAUACAUAGGUUAACGAGGCGAACCGGGGGAACUGAAACAUCUAAGUACCCCGAGGAAAAGAAAUCAACCGAGAUUCCCCCAGUAGCGGCGAGCGAACGGGGAGCAGCCCGGAGUCUGAAUCAGCUUGUGUGUUAGUGGAACGGUCUGGAAAGUCCGACGGUACAGGGUGAUAGUCCCGUACACGAAAGCACACUUGCUGUGAACUCGAAGAGUAGGGCGGGACACGUGGUAUCCUGUCUGAAUAUGGGGGGACCAUCCUCCAAGGCUAAAUACUCCUGACUGACCGAUAGUGAACCAGUACCGUGAGGAGUGAACCAGUACCGUGAGGGAAAGGCGAAAAGAACCCCGGCGAGGGGAGUGAAAAAGAACCUGAAACCGUGUACGUACAAGCAGUGGGAGCCUCUUUAUGGGGUGACUGCGUACCUUUUGUAUAAUGGGUCAGCGACUUAUAUUCUGUAGCAAGGUUAACCGUAUAGGGGAGCCGAAGGGAAACCGAGUCUUAACUGGGCGUUAAGUUGCAGGGUAUAGACCCGAAACCCGGUGAUCUAGCCAUGGGCAGGUUGAAGGUUGGGUAACACUAACUGGAGGACCGAACCGACUAAUGUUGAAAAAUUAGCGGAAUCAAACCGGGAGAUAGCUGGUUCUCCCCGAAAGCUAUUUAGGUAGCGCCUCGUGAACUCAUCUUCGGGGGUAGAGCACUGUUUCGGCUAGGGGGCCAUCCCGGCUUACCAACCCGAUGCAAACUACGAAUACCGAAGAAUGUUAUCACGGGAGACACACGGCGGGUGCUAACGUCCGUCGUGAAGAGGGAAACAACCCAGACCGCCAGCUAAGGUCCCAAAGUCAUGGUUAAGUGGGAAACGAUGUGGGAAGGCACAGACAGCCAGGAUGUUGGCUUAGAAGCAGCCAUCAUUUAAAGAAAGCGUAAUAGCUCACUGGUCGAGUCGGCCUGCGCGGAAGAUGUAACGGGGCUAAACCAUGCACCGAAGCUGCGGCAGCGACGCUUAUGCGUUGUUGGGUAGGGGAGCGUUCUGUAAGCCGUUGAAGGUGUGCUGUGAGGCAUGCUGGAGGUAUCAGAAGUGCGAAUGCUGACAUAAGUAACGAUAAAGCGGGUGAAAAGCCCGCUCGCCGGAAGACCAAGGGUUCCUGUCCAACGUUAAUCGGGGCAGGGUGAGUCGACCCCUAAGGCGAGGCCGAAAGGCGUAGUCGAUGGGAAAC
Molecule: ribosomal RNA, 1377 nt
Filed under: Enterobacter hormaechei
Lineage: Bacteria; Pseudomonadati; Pseudomonadota; Gammaproteobacteria; Enterobacterales; Enterobacteriaceae
Description: partial 23S ribosomal RNA
Rfam family: Bacterial large subunit ribosomal RNA
Source: RNAcentral